CCAAUAGCGUAUAUUAAAGUUGUUGCAGUUAAAAAGCUCGUAGUUGAAUUUUGGGUUUGGCCGGUUGGUCCGUUCUUGUAACGAGUACUGGUCGGUUGGGCCUCACCGCUUGGGGAAGGGUAAUGCACUUAAUUGGGUGUUGCUCGGAGCCAAGACCUUUACCUUGAAAAAAUUAGAGUGUUUAAAGCAGGCAUAUGCCAGAAUACAUUAGCAUGGAAUAAUAGAAUAGGACAACGAUUCUAUUUUGUUGGUUUCUAGGACCGUUGUAAUGAUUAAUAGGGAUAGUUGGGGGCAUUAGUAUUCAAUUGUCAGAGGUGAAAUUCUUGGAUUUAUUGAAGACUAACUACUGCGAAAGCAUUUGCCAAGGAUGUUUUCAUUAAUCAAGAACGAAAGUUAGGGGAUCGAAGACGAUCAGAUACCGUCGUAGUCUUAACCAUAAACUAUGCCGACUAGGGAUCGGGCGAUGUUGUUUCAAUGACUCGCUCGGCACCUUAUG
This 496-nucleotide ribosomal RNA is filed under the name uncultured Glomeromycotina. Its description in RNAcentral is "partial small subunit ribosomal RNA". It matches the Rfam family "Eukaryotic small subunit ribosomal RNA", at positions 591 to 1092 of the family's 1831-position model. Lineage: Eukaryota; Fungi; Glomeromycota. The record is from RNAcentral.